CCCUCCUUUCGCGCCUUUGUGGGCGAACAAAAAGGCAUCCAGGUUCAAUGAACCUGGAAGUUCUAUGUUCUUGUUUUAUCAUCACCAUCAUCAUAUUCUUCAUCACCUUUACUAGCGACUUAUAUAUAUGUAAACGAAGCUUUGAUGAAACUGCGGACAAAUUGGGCCGAGAAAGAGAGAAGUAUCUAUGGCAUCUUCGGCGACUCAUCACUUCAUCAUCAUUAUCAUGGAUCAAGCUCAAAGAACGGCGUAAGACAGGAGCCAAACAUCACCUCAACACAAAUAUGCUCGAGAUGAUUGAUCAAUAUGCAUAUGGGAGAAAGUAUAUCAAUAUGGAACUAAUUAUAAUUAGUAUUACAUUAUCGUUUGAUAGAAAAACAUGAAUAGUGUUCAUGCAUGGCUUGAAACAUGAAACAAAACAAAAAAGAGUUCCCCUUUCAGAAACUUCAAUCUAUUUUGUUGAGAGAGAAAAAAUAAACAAAACUUAUAUGUAGCUGUUGUCUUGCACUCUCAUUUUGAUUUUCAGUUUUGCAUUGACAAUGGAAUAGUUGAUUGGAACUUGAAAUCCUUUUCUUGAAGCUGGGUUAUUUCGUCGACGCCUAUAUAUAAUUUAUUACGUGUCAAC
Long non-coding RNA from Eutrema salsugineum, 625 nucleotides. RefSeq lists it as uncharacterized. The record is from RefSeq and is a predicted model, not a curated record. The transcript has 3 exons. Lineage: Eukaryota; Viridiplantae; Streptophyta; Magnoliopsida; Brassicales; Brassicaceae.